RNAcentral lists this ribosomal RNA (253 nucleotides) under uncultured bacterium. RNAcentral describes it as "partial 16S ribosomal RNA". It matches the Rfam family "Bacterial small subunit ribosomal RNA", at positions 524 to 776 of the family's 1533-position model. The record is from RNAcentral.
UACGUAGGGUGCAAGCGUUGUCCGGAAUUAUUGGGCGUAAAGGGCUCGUAGGCGGUCCAUCAUGUCGGGAGUGAAAAGCUGGGGCUUAACCCCAGUCCUGCUUCCGAUACGGGUGGACUAGAGGUAGGUAGGGGAGAACGGAAUUCCUGGUGUAGCGGUGAAAUGCGCAGAUAUCAGGAGGAACACCGGUGGCGAAGGCGGUUCUCUGGGCCUUACCUGACGCUGAGGAGCGAAAGCGUGGGGAGCGAACAGG